This 1234-nucleotide ribosomal RNA is filed under the name metagenome. RNAcentral describes it as "bacterial LSU rRNA". It matches the Rfam family "Bacterial large subunit ribosomal RNA", at positions 1564 to 2808 of the family's 2925-position model. The record is from RNAcentral.
UGAAUACGAGACGCUACGGCGUCGAAGCAGUCUAUGUCAGACUUCCAAGAAAAGCUCGCAAUGUCAUAAACAAAUAAUGCCUGUACCAUAACCGACACAGGUGGGUAGGCAGAGUAUACUAAGGGGCGCGAGAUAACUCUCUCUAAGGAACUCGGCAAAAUGACUCCGUAACUUCGGGAGAAGGAGUGCCUUAUUUAUAAGGUUGCAAUAACAAGAUCCAAGCAACUGUUUAUCAAAAACACAGGUCUCCGCUAAGUCGUAAGACGAUGUAUGGGGGCUGACGCCUGCCCAGUGCCAGAAGGUUAAAGAAGUUGGUUAGCAUUCGCGAAGCUGAUAACUGAAGCCCUGGUGAACGGCGGCCGUAACAAUAACGGUCCUAAGGUAGCGAAAUUCCUUGUCGGGUAAGUUCCGACCCGCACGAAAGGCGUAAUGAUUUGGAUACUGUCUCGGAGAGGGGCUCGGUGAAAUAGACUUGUCUGUGAAGAUGCGGACUACCUGCACCUGGACAGAAAGACCCUAUGAAGCUUUACUGUAACUUGAAAUUGAAAUUGGACUUUAUUUGCGCAGCAUAGGUGGGAGGCUUUGAGAGUAUUCUUGCGGGAAUAUUGGAGCCAUCAGUGAGAUACCACUCUUGUAAUGUUAGAUUUCUAACUUUGUAUCAUUAUCUGGUCAAAGAACAGUUUCAGGCGGGCAGUUUGACUGGGGCGGUCGCCUCCCGAAUGGUAGCGGAGGCGUACAAAGGUUUCCUCUGAACGGGUAGAAAUCGUAUCUAGAGUGUAAAGGCAUAAGGAAGCUUGACUGUGAGACCUACAAGUCGAGCAGGGACGAAAGUCGGUCUUAGUGAUCUGACGGUGCUGAGUGGAAAGGCCGUCACUCAACGGAUAAAAGUUACUCUAGGAUAACAGGCUGAUCUCCCCCAAGAGUUCACAUCGACGGGGAGGUUUGGCACCUCGAUGUCGGCUCAUCGCAUCCUGGGGCGGUAGUACGUCCCAAGGGUUGGGCUGUUCGCCCAUGAAAGCGGUACGCGAGCUGGGUUCAGAACGUCGUGAGACAGUUCGGUCCAUAUCCGGUGUAGGCGUUAGAAUAUUGAGAGGAGCCUUCUUUAGUACGAGAGGACCGAGAAGGACAUACCUCUGGUGUACCAGUUAUCGUGCCAACGGUAAACGCUGGGUAGCUAUGUAUGGAGAGGAUAACCGCUGAAAGCAUCUAAGUGGGAAGCCCACCUCAAGAUAAG